Molecule: transfer RNA, 72 nt
Filed under: Paramuricea clavata
Lineage: Eukaryota; Metazoa; Cnidaria; Anthozoa; Malacalcyonacea; Plexauridae
Rfam family: tRNA
About the family: Transfer RNA (tRNA) molecules are approximately 80 nucleotides in length. Their secondary structure includes four short double-helical elements and three loops (D, anti-codon, and T loops). Further hydrogen bonds mediate the characteristic L-shaped molecular structure. tRNAs have two regions of fundamental functional importance: the anti-codon, which is responsible for specific mRNA codon recognition, and the 3' end, to which the tRNAs corresponding amino acid is attached (by aminoacyl-tRNA synthetases). tRNAs cope with the degeneracy of the genetic code in two manners: having more than one tRNA (with a specific anti-codon) for a particular amino acid; and 'wobble' base-pairing, i.e. permitting non-standard base-pairing at the 3rd anti-codon position.
Source: Rfam by way of RNAcentral
GACUCGAUAGCUCAAUGGGUAGAGCGGCGGUUUAGAUACCCGAAGAUGCGAGUUCAAAUCCCGCUCGAGCCA